AUGUGGGUAAGCAUCUCACGCAAACUUGAUGUUCGCCGUCAUACACGGGAGAUCAUCGAGUCUGCCUCUCAGAGGGAAUGCCCACGCAUUGAUAACCUUGAUACUCUGCAGCGCAAGUUAACAGACAUACUGCAAGGAUCAGGGAAAUUCCUGCUUGUGCUGGAUGAUGUUUGGUUUGAACCUGGUAGCGAAAGGGAAUGGGACCAACUGUUAGCUCCUCUAGUUUCCCAACAGAUGGGAAGCAAAGUCUUGGUAACUUCUCGACGAGAUACAUUUCCACCUGCUCUUUGCUGUGAAGAAGUGUGUCCUCUGGAAAAGAUGGAGGAUGCUCAGUUCUUGGCACUCUUCAAACACCAUGCAUUCUUUGGACCAAAAAUCAGAAAUCCACAGUUGUGUAAAAAGCUGGAAGGUUUUGCAGAGAAGAUUGCUAAAAGGCUUGGACAAUCUCCUUUGGCGGCAAAAGUUAUGGGUUCUCAGUUGAAAGGGAAAACCGAUAUAUCUUCAUGGAAGGAUGCUCUAACUUUAAUGACUGACAAAUUAAGUGAGCCCAUGGCAGCUUUGUUGUGGAGUUAUAAGAAGUUAGAUCCAUGUCUGCAAAGGUGCUUCCUAUACUGUAGCCUCUUUCCAAAAGGCUACAGGUAUGUCAUUGAUGAUUUGGUUUAUCUUUGGAUGGGUGAGGGUCUUUUUGAUUCGUGCAACCAAAACAAGAGAGUGAAAGAUAUUGGGAGGGAUUGCUUCAAGGAGAUGGUCUCUGUUUCAUUCUUUCAACCAUACGUUGGCCCGUAUUAUGUUAUGCAUGAUCUCCUUCAUGAUCUGGCAGAAUCACACUCCAAAGAAGACUACUUCAGAUUGGAAGAUGAUAAGGUGACAGAAAUAUCAUCCACUGUUCGACACCUAUCUGUUCGUGUUGAUAGUAUGAUGCAACACAAGCAAAGUAUCUGCAAGCUACAUCAUUUACGCACUAUUAUCUGCAUAGAACCCAUAGUGGAUGAUGUACGUGACCUUUUUAAUCAGAUAAUACAGAAUUUGAAGAAGUUGUGCGUGCUAUGCUUGUCAUCUUACAGUAGUAGUAAGUUGCCAUAUUCUGCUGGUGAGUUGAAGCACCUUCGGUAUUUGAACCUUAAAGAAACACUGAUUUCUGAAUUGCCAAGAUCAUUGUGUACCCUUUACCACUUACAGUUACUUCUGUUAAAUGGUAAAGUUAAGAGUUUCCCUGAGAAACUCAGCAAUUUAGUGAAGUUACAACAUCUUGAAUCGAGCUUCAAAGAAGCAAUUCCUAACAUUGGCAAGCUAACAUUGCUUCAACAAUUAGGGGAAUUUUCUGUGCAAAAGAAAAAGGGAUAUGAGUUACAACAGCUCAGGGACAUGAACGAGAUUCAUGGCAGUUUAAGGGUCACAAAUCUUGAGAAUGUUGCUGGGAAGGAUCAAGCCUUAGAAUCAAAGCUGCACAAGAAAAGUCAACUUGGCAGCUUAGAACUUGUAUGGAGUUAUGAAAAUAACACAAAUGCAGAGGAUAGUUUACAUUUGGAGGUUCUAAAAGGCCUAAGGCCUGAUGCAAAUCUUGAGAAUCUUGAAAUUGACGGAUACAAAUCUUCAAAAUACCCAGGCUGGUUACUUGAUGGUUCGUAUUUUGAGAAUUUGGAAUCUUUGAGCUGUUUUAAUUGCAGUGCUUUGCAAAGACUACCAUCUAAUAUUGAACUAUAUAGGAAUUGCUCUUCACUUGUCCUCCGAGAUGUGCCAAACCUAAAGACAUUACCUUGUCUUCCACUAUGCCUUAAAACAUUACUAGUACACAAAUGCCCACUGCUUGUAUUUAUUUCCAACGAUGCGUUGGAACAUGAUGAUAAGAGAGAGAAUUUCAUGAUGGCAAACCACUUGGCAUCAUGA
This 1887-nucleotide ribosomal RNA is filed under the name Triticum aestivum (bread wheat). RNAcentral describes it as "partial small subunit ribosomal RNA". The record is from RNAcentral. Lineage: Eukaryota; Viridiplantae; Streptophyta; Magnoliopsida; Poales; Poaceae.